This 640-nucleotide long non-coding RNA is filed under the name Ananas comosus (pineapple). RNAcentral describes it as "long non-coding RNA (ACOM_LNC030817)". Lineage: Eukaryota; Viridiplantae; Streptophyta; Magnoliopsida; Poales; Bromeliaceae. The record is from RNAcentral.
ACUCGAAUUUAUUUUGUAUUAUAUAUAAUAUAUAUAUAUAAAAAUUUGAUGUUAUAUUUGAAUUUGUAUUUUAAAAAUUUAGGUUUAAUAUAAUAUAUUUUGAAAUAUUAAAAAAAAAAAAUAAUUAUUUCGGGUUCAAAUUUUUGGGUUCGGAUUCGGGAUCGGGUUUCGAAUUUUUGAUCGGGUUCGAGUUUGGAUAUGGAUUUUUAAAAUCCGUCAGUUUCGAGUUCGGGUUCGGAUUCGAAUUUUUAAAAAUCCGCUCCGAAUCCGACCCGUUGACAUCUCUAGUCCGGUCGGGGUGUAAGUGGUUAGGAUAAACCCCAUUGGUAGGAUGGGGGGCUUUUUUUGCAAUUCGCCUCCUGAAAAAAAUUUAUUUUAAAAAUAGCCCAAUCAAACUUAAAUUUAUAAAAAUAGUUCUGCUCUUGCCAAAUUUGUAAAAAUUUAAAUUUGUAAAUUUGUAUAUUUUUUUUAGACACGGUGAAUGGUUCAUCGUGUUUAAUUUAACUAUCUGGUCCAGUCCGGCCCGCAUAGCACUGACGUGACACCUACGUGGUAGGGUCAGGGCCAUUUUUACAAAUUUAAAUUUACUAGGGUUAUUUUUAAAAUAAAUUUUUUUUAGGGGGCUAAUUACAAAAAAGGU